This 73-nucleotide transfer RNA is filed under the name Apaloderma vittatum (bar-tailed trogon). It matches the Rfam family "tRNA". Rfam says of the family: Transfer RNA (tRNA) molecules are approximately 80 nucleotides in length. Their secondary structure includes four short double-helical elements and three loops (D, anti-codon, and T loops). Further hydrogen bonds mediate the characteristic L-shaped molecular structure. tRNAs have two regions of fundamental functional importance: the anti-codon, which is responsible for specific mRNA codon recognition, and the 3' end, to which the tRNAs corresponding amino acid is attached (by aminoacyl-tRNA synthetases). tRNAs cope with the degeneracy of the genetic code in two manners: having more than one tRNA (with a specific anti-codon) for a particular amino acid; and 'wobble' base-pairing, i.e. permitting non-standard base-pairing at the 3rd anti-codon position. The record is from Rfam by way of RNAcentral. Lineage: Eukaryota; Metazoa; Chordata; Aves; Trogoniformes; Trogonidae.
GGCUGGUUAGCUCAGUCAGUUGAGCAUGGCGCUAACAAUGCCUAGGACGUUGGUUCGAUUCCCAUACGGUCCC